CGCUGGCGGCAUGCCUAACACAUGCAAGUCGAACGAGACUUCGGGUCUAGUGGCGCACGGGUGCGUAACACGUGGGAAUUUGCCUCGGGGUAUGGAAUAACUCAGGGAAACUUGAGCUAAUACCAUAUAAUGUCUUCGGACCAAAGAUUUAUCGCCCUGAGAUAAGCCCGCGUAGGAUUAGCUAGUUGGUGAGGUAAAGGCUCACCAAGGCGACGAUCCUUAGCUGGUCUGAGAGGAUGAUCAGCCACACUGGGACUGAGACACGGCCCCAGACUCCUACGGGAGGCAGCAGUGGGGAAUUUUGGACAAUGGGCGCAAGCCUGAUCCAGCAAUGCCGCGUGCAGGAUGAAGGCCUUCGGGUUGUAAACUGCUUUUGUACGGAACGAAACGGUGAGCUCUAAUACAGUUUGCUAAUGACGGUACCGUAAGAAUAAGCACCGGCUAACUACGUG
Molecule: ribosomal RNA, 452 nt
Filed under: uncultured bacterium
Lineage: Bacteria
Description: bacterial SSU rRNA
Rfam family: Bacterial small subunit ribosomal RNA
Source: RNAcentral